RNAcentral lists this unclassified non-coding RNA (346 nucleotides) under soil metagenome. RNAcentral describes it as "partial contains 5.8S ribosomal RNA, internal transcribed spacer 2, and large subunit ribosomal RNA". The stretch from base 1 to 119 matches the Rfam family "5.8S ribosomal RNA", at positions 35 to 154 of the family's 154-position model. The record is from RNAcentral.
GAUGAAGAACGUAGCGAAAUGCGAUACGUAAUGUGAAUUGCAAAUUCAGUGAAUCAUCGAGUCUUUGAACGCACAUUGCGCCCCCUGGUAUUCCGGGGGGCAUGCCUGUCCGAGCGUCAUUGCUGCCCUCAAGCCCGGCUUGUGUGUUGGGCCCCGUCCCCCGACCUCCGGGGGACGGGCCCGAAAGGCAGCGGCGGCACCGCGUCCGGUCCUCGAGCGUAUGGGGCUUUGUCACCCGCUCUGUAGGCCCGGCCGGCGCUUGCCGAUCAACCCAAAUUUUUAUCCAGGUUGACCUCGGAUCAGGUAGGGAUACCCGCUGAACUUAAGCAUAUCAAUAAGCGGAGGA